This 414-nucleotide unclassified non-coding RNA is filed under the name Cercozoa sp. RNAcentral describes it as "partial contains small subunit ribosomal RNA, internal transcribed spacer 1, and 5.8S ribosomal RNA". The stretch from base 1 to 47 matches the Rfam family "Eukaryotic small subunit ribosomal RNA", at positions 1785 to 1831 of the family's 1831-position model. The record is from RNAcentral. Lineage: Eukaryota; Cercozoa.
AAAGUCGUAACAAGGUUUCCGUAGGUGAACCUGCGGAAGGAUCAUUAACACGUAUCCAACGUUAAACCCCCCUGUGAACCUUCAGAGCGCUCUUGCAGCCCAUGAGGACAGCAAUCCUGGUAAAUCAGUGGCGAAAGUCGUUUUUGAUUCAGGACCUCUGUCUGAAAGGAAGUUACUGCGGCAAUUGAGCGCUUCGCAGUGGUCUGGAGUCCUGGCCGGGCGGAUGAAAGUGUCGCUGGACGGUUUCUAGGGUAAUGCUUCACAAUCGCUAGAGGCUCAACACGAGCCGGCGGACAGACUGCCGGGCGCAAGCCCCCCUCUUGACGACCAAGUUAAAUAAGGCCUCUGUCACAUAGCAAGUGCGCCGUGACAGAGGAAAACGUACAACUGUUAACAAUGGAUAUCUUGGUUCUC